UGGGGAGUGGCCAAGCGGUAAGGCAGCUGAUUCUGGAUCAGCCAAUCGGAGGUUCGAAUCCUCCCUCCCCAG
RNAcentral lists this transfer RNA (72 nucleotides) under Chloroflexota bacterium. RNAcentral's name for it is "Chloroflexi bacterium (soil metagenome) tRNA-Gln". It matches the Rfam family "tRNA". Rfam says of the family: Transfer RNA (tRNA) molecules are approximately 80 nucleotides in length. Their secondary structure includes four short double-helical elements and three loops (D, anti-codon, and T loops). The record is from RNAcentral. RNAcentral also lists the same sequence under 4 other names. Lineage: Bacteria; Bacillati; Chloroflexota.